GAUGAACGCUGGCGGCGUGCUUAACACAUGCAAGUCGAACGAUGAAGCCCAGCUUGCUGGGUGGAUUAGUGGCGAACGGGUGAGUAACACGUGAGUAACCUGCCCUUAACUCUGGGAUAAGCCUGGGAAACUGGGUCUAAUACCGGAUAGGAGCGUCCACCGCAUGGUGGGUGUUGGAAAGAUUUAUCGGUUUUGGAUGGACUUGCGGCCUAUCAGCUUGUUGGUGAGGUAAUGGCUCACCAAGGCGACGACGGGUAGCCGGCCUGAGAGGGUGACCGGCCACACUGGGACUGAGACACGGCCCAGACUCCUACGGGAGGCAGCAGUGGGGAAUAUUGCACAAUGGGCGCAAGCCUGAUGCAGCGACGCCGCGUGAGGGAUGACGGCCUUCGGGUUGUAAACCUCUUUCAGUAGGGAAGAAGCGAAAGUGACGGUACCUGCAGAAGAAGCACCGGCUAACUACGUG
RNAcentral lists this ribosomal RNA (466 nucleotides) under uncultured bacterium. Its description in RNAcentral is "partial 16S ribosomal RNA". It matches the Rfam family "Bacterial small subunit ribosomal RNA", at positions 28 to 507 of the family's 1533-position model. The record is from RNAcentral.